RNAcentral lists this ribosomal RNA (253 nucleotides) under uncultured bacterium. Its description in RNAcentral is "partial 16S ribosomal RNA". It matches the Rfam family "Bacterial small subunit ribosomal RNA", at positions 524 to 776 of the family's 1533-position model. The record is from RNAcentral.
UACGUAGGGUGCGAGCGUUGCCCGGAUUUAUUGGGCGUAAAGGGCGCGUAGGCGGCCACGCACGUCCGUUGUGAAAUCGCCCGGCUCAACUGGGCGGGGUCGGCGGAUACGGCGUGGCUGGAGCAAGCUAGGGGGCAGUGGAAUUCCUGGUGUAGCGGUGAAAUGCGCAGAUAUCAGGAGGAACACCAAUGGCGAAGGCAGCUCACUGGGACGAUACUGACGCUGAGACGCGAAAGCGUGGGGAGCAAACAGG